GAAUACCUCAUAGCAUACUAAGUUGGCAUCAACCUAGUAUUAAAGUCACAACGGUGAAAGAUGAGCAUGCGUCCCAUUAGCUAGUUGGUAAGGUAACGGCUUACCAAGGCGACGAUGGGUAGGGGUCCUGAGAGGGAGAUCCCCCACACUGGUACUGAGACACGGACCAGACUCCUACGGGAGGCAGCAGUGAGGAAUAUUGGUCAAUGGGCGCAAGCCUGAACCAGCCAUGCCGCGUGCAGGAUGACGGUCCUAUGGAUUGUAAACUGCUUUUGUACGGGAAGAAACACUCCUUCGUGAAGGAGCUUGACGGUACCGUAAGAAUAAGGAUCGGCUAACUCCGUGCCAGCAGCCGCGGUAAUACGGAGGAUCCAAGCGUUAUCCGGAAUCAUUGGGUUUAAAGGGUCCGUAGGCGGUCUUGUAAGUCAGUGGUGAAAGCCCAUCGCUCAACGGUGGAACGGCCAUUGAUACUGCAGGACUUGAAUUAUUGGGAAGUAACUAGAAUAUGUAGUGUAGCGGUGAAAUGCUUAGAGAUUACAUGGAAUACCAAUUGCGAAGGCAGGUUACUACCAAUUUAUUGACGCUGAUGGACGAAAGCGUGGGUAGCGAACAGGAUUAGAUACCCUGGUAGUCCACGCCGUAAACGAUGGAUACUAGCUGUUGGGGGCAACUUCAGUGGCUAAGCGAAAGUGAUAAGUAUCCCACCUGGGGAGUACGUUCGCAAGAAUGAAACUCAAAGGAAUUGACGGGGGCCCGCACAAGCGGUGGAGCAUGUGGUUUAAUUCGAUGAUACGCGAGGAACCUUACCAAGGCUUAAAUGCAGACUGACCGAUUUGGAAACAGAUCUUUCGCAAGACAGUUUACAAGGUGCUGCAUGGUUGUCGUCAGCUCGUGCCGUGAGGUGUCAGGUUAAGUCCUAUAACGAGCGCAACCCCUGUUGUUAGUUGCCAGCGAGUCAUGUCGGGAACUCUAACAAGACUGCCAGUGCAAACUGUGAGGAAGGUGGGGAUGACGUCAAAUCAUCACGGCCCUUACGCCUUGGGCUACACACGUGCUACAAUGGCCGGUACAGAGAGCAGCCACCUCGCGAGGGGGAGCGAAUCUAUAAAGCCGGUCACAGUUCGGAUCGGAGUCUGCAACUCGACUCCGUGAAGCUGGAAUCGCUAGUA
This 1169-nucleotide ribosomal RNA is filed under the name Flavobacterium sp. juv964. RNAcentral's name for it is "bacterial SSU rRNA". It matches the Rfam family "Bacterial small subunit ribosomal RNA", at positions 164 to 1340 of the family's 1533-position model. The record is from RNAcentral. Lineage: Bacteria; Pseudomonadati; Bacteroidota; Flavobacteriia; Flavobacteriales; Flavobacteriaceae.